AUUGAACGCUAGCGGGAUGCCUAACACAUGCAAGUCGAGCGGAGCGGCGAACGGGUGAGUAAUGCCUAGGAACCUGCCCGGUAGCGGGGGAUAACGUCCGGAAAGGGGAGCUAAUACCGCAUACUAUCGGAGCAGCCUAGGUCGGAUUAGCUAGUUGGUGGGGUAAAGGCCUACCAAGGCGACGAUCCGUAACUGGUCUGAGAGGAUGAUCAGUCACACUGGAACUGAGACACGGUCCAGACUCCUACGGGAGGCAGCAGUGGGGAAUAUUGGACAAUGGGCGAAAGCCUGAUCCAGCCAUGCCGCGUGUGUGAAGAAGGUCUUCGGAUUGUAAAGCACUUUAAGUUGGGAGGCGUUACCAACAGAAUAAGCACCGGCUAACUUCGUGCCAGCAGCCGCGGUAAUAC
This 407-nucleotide ribosomal RNA is filed under the name uncultured bacterium. RNAcentral's name for it is "partial 16S ribosomal RNA". It matches the Rfam family "Bacterial small subunit ribosomal RNA", at positions 30 to 526 of the family's 1533-position model. The record is from RNAcentral.